This 316-nucleotide long non-coding RNA is filed under the name Homo sapiens (human). RNAcentral's name for it is "non-protein coding lnc-CLEC4M-2:1". Lineage: Eukaryota; Metazoa; Chordata; Mammalia; Primates; Hominidae. The record is from RNAcentral.
AGUCCAACAGGGAUGGAAUCCGUGGCAAAGUGGCGACCCAGAACAGGGACUUGAGGACGUUGCAAAGUGGCUUCUGAACACAGAGACCGGAGGACGUGAACGAAGAAGGUCGGCUGGAGCAGAGGAACCGAAAACGACAAGAUGAAUGGGGACCCCGAGACAAGCCUGCCAGCAGCGGAUAUAAGGCAGGCACUCUUGAUGUGGAAAACUGGAACAGAGCGGGAGAAGGAUUGAAACAUGCUCAUCAAAAAGGUCUUAAAGUUGAUUCUUCUGCUUUCUGUACUUGCAGUCUAAUUCGUACUGUACUUAUGCCGUU